AUUGAACGCUGGCGGCAUGCUUUACACAUGCAAGUCGAACGGCAGCGCGGGCUUCGGCCUGGCUGCGAGUGGCGAACGGGUGAGUAAUGCAUCGGAACGUGCCCAGUAGUGGGGGAUGGCCCGGCGAAAGCCGGAUUAAUACCGCAUACGACCUGAGGGUGAAAGCGGGGGACCGAAAGGCCUCGCGCUAUUGGAGCGGCCGAUGUCGGAUUAGCUAGUUGGUGGGGUAAAGGCUUACCAAGGCGACGAUCCGUAGCUGGUCUGAGAGGACGACCAGCCACACUGGGACUGAGACACGGCCCAGACUCCUACGGGAGGCAGCAGUGGGGAAUGUUGGACAAUGGGGGCAACCCUGAUCCAGCCAUGCCGCGUGCGGGAAGAAGGCCUUCGGGUUGUAAACCGCUUUUGUUCGGGAAGAAAUCCUCUGGGCUAAUACCCCGGGGGGAUGACGGUACCGGAAGAAUAAGCACCGGCUAACUACGUG
RNAcentral lists this ribosomal RNA (484 nucleotides) under uncultured bacterium. RNAcentral's name for it is "partial 16S ribosomal RNA". It matches the Rfam family "Bacterial small subunit ribosomal RNA", at positions 28 to 507 of the family's 1533-position model. The record is from RNAcentral.